AAAAAUUUGCUGAUCACAGACUAAGUGUUGACCUAUAGUGCCUCUAGCCUCAGUAUCCCCGAUUACCGUAUUAAAAACCAUGCCCUUUGCUGCAUAAUGAUAUGUAAAUAAGGGGGGCAUACCCCACAACAAUUGCGCAAAUGGCAAUGUAGCCAAUGAAGUAUGACUGCCGCGCUUCCACAUCCCACCCUCAGCGACUAUAAAAGAGAGGACAGCUCCCUAAAGUUUUGGAAGGGAAGAAAACUGAACCCCCAAACUGUUCACUGGAGAUUGCUGACGAGCGAGCCUCCUUCUCCCCUCCCCCAAACAGCGACACCACUUUGGUAAGAUUUGCACCUCCAGCAACAUCGGACAUUACGUGGGGAAAUAUAUUAUUAUUGAAAGUGCUUAAUUGCUAGUUUGAGCUCAAAGAAAGAAAAAUUGUUGCAGCAAGUGCAUUUAUCAGUGGCAAUUCCAAACCUGUGGUAUCUGUUGCUUUAAUAAAAUCUACAGCUUGUGAAACUGACUCAGGGAGAGUCCUUGAACAAGGGGCUCUGGCACACCAACCUCAAUUACCAAGCUAAGGAAGGGCCUUUCUUCCCUCCCUUCACGCCACAAUGGGUCACCCGUGCAGCAUGGCCAGAGGUAGAGAGUGAGCUGGGGGGAUGCCCAGAGCAGCUAGUGGAACUGGUUUCCAAGCUCCAACUGCAAAAAGCAGGGCUGGCGGCACAAAAGGCAGCGGGGGAUCUGGGGUGGAUCUUCCUGACUGCACUCCACACCCUGGACAAGGUGUUGCUGACGCAGCACCAGCAAAAUGGGCUGUUGGAAAGGGACCUCGAUGGUGCUAAGGAGGCUCGCCAACUGUCCCAAGAGGUUGCAACUGCAACCGCAGAGCAAGGCAAGAAGCUGGAGCCCCAAUGUGCCAUUCUGGCUACCUACAUUGCAAAUUGCCCACAGCGACAGUGGGGACGGAGAGAUGUCCACCCCGGCGGAGUGGGCACUGGUGCAAAAAGCGGGUCGGGAUCCAGAAACUUGGGAUGGCAAUAUAUGGGACUCCAACCACCUAAAACAAUAGCUGGCUUUUGGCACUUACUCUUUUUUACAAGCUGACACCUUGCCUCCUCAGACAUUGGCACAAAAAUCACCCUSCCCCUGACAAGGUUCACACACCAUCAAGGAAGCAGCCACAACUUCUCUUGGGCCCCUCCGGCUUUCUUGCAUGCCUACUCCAGUYAAACAAGAACUGUAACGCUGAGGUUCAGUGUUUUGCAAUGAUGUUCGUCCUUCAAGUUAGGAACAUCUUGGAAAUACACUAUGGGGCUGGGAGCGCCCACUGCUGAGCAGAGCGCCAGCAAGAGCUGUCCCUCCAGUGCUCGUCUCCCCAGUGGCUCCCCGUCCAGACACCCUUUCUCAGCAGCGGUGGGGAGCGGGUGCGGAGCGGCCCGCGAGCCCCGUGAGCCUUGACACACCUCCUUGCCGUGGUCACAUGAAGGUUGGCAGCGUGGUGA
This 1487-nucleotide long non-coding RNA is filed under the name Apteryx haastii (Great spotted kiwi). RNAcentral's name for it is "lncRNA (ENSAHAG00000002450.1)". Lineage: Eukaryota; Metazoa; Chordata; Aves; Apterygiformes; Apterygidae. The record is from RNAcentral.